UUAAAUUUAUAAAUUAUUUUAUUUUUUUUUUUUGAAAAAAAAUUAAUAAAAAUAUUUUUAAAUUAUAAAAGUUUUUGUAUUUUCUUAGAAAAAAUUUUUUUGAUUAAAUUGAAUUAGUAUUGAAAAAGAAUUUUGAAAAAUUAAAUAUAUUUUAGUGAAAGUAAAUUUUAUUUAUUGUACCUUGUGUAUCAGGGUUUUUUAAAAAUAGAGUAUAAAAUAUAUUUUUCUCGAAUUAAAUUGAUUUAUUUUAUAAUUAUAAUUUUUAUUGUGGUAAAAAUAUUUUUAAUAUAAAAAUAGAAGUGAAAUGUUAAACGAUUUUUAAGAUAUCUAGUUUUUUAAUAAAUGAAUUUAAUUCAGAUAUUAGCUUAAAAAAUUUAUUUUAAAAUAGUAAUUUAGUUAAUAUUAAUAUUUUAUGGGAUAAGCUUUAAAAUAUAAUUUUAUAAUUUUAAAUUUUUUUAUAUCUAUAUAUAGGCUUAGAAAUAGUUUUUAUUUUAAAAAUGUUAUAAUUUAAUUAUAUUUAUUAGUUUAAAAUUUUAUUUUUUUAAUUUAAUUAUUUAUUAAAAUAAAUAAAUAAAUAAAUUUAUUUAUUUGAAAUGAUUAUAAAAUUAGUAAAUUUGAUUGUGUUUUAUUAAAUAAAUUAAUUAAUAAAUUUAUUUUAAGGAAUUCGGCAAAAUUUUAUAUUCACCUGUUUAUCAAAAACAUGUCUUUUUGAAUUUAAUUUAAAGUCUAAUCUGCUCUAUGAUUUAUUAAAUGGCCGCAGUAUUUUGACUGUGCAAAGGUAGCAUAAUAAUUAGUCUUUUAAUUGAAGGCUUGAAUGAAUGAUUGAAUGAAAUAUAAACUGUCUUAAUUUAAUUUUUUGAAUUUAAUUUUUGAGUUAAAAAGCUUAAAUUUUUUUAUAGGACGAGAAGACCCCAUAGAAUUUUAUGUUUAAAUUAAAGUUUUAAUUUAAUUUUAAUUUAAUUUUAAUUUGAAUAUUUUAUUGGGGCGAUAGAAAAAUUGAUUAAACUUUUUUAAUAUUAUUUCAUUAAUUUAUGAAUUAUAGAUCUUAAAUUUUAGAUUAUUAGAAUAAAUUACCUUGGGGAUAACAGCGUAAUUUUUUUUAGAGUUCUUAUUUAUAAAAGAGAUUGUGACCUCGAUGUUGGAUUAAAAUAUAAUUUAGGUGAAGAAGCUUAAAUUUUAAGUCUGUUCGACUUUUAAAAUUUUACAUGAUCUGAGUUCAAACCGGUGUAAGCCAGGUUGGUUUCUAUCCUUAAAUAAUAAAAAAUUUUUAGUACGAAAGGACCAUAAUUUUAUAAUAAUUUGUUUAAAAUUUGAAUUUUAAUAAAUUUGUUGG
RNAcentral lists this ribosomal RNA (1333 nucleotides) under Hemathlophorus sp. Its description in RNAcentral is "16S ribosomal RNA". The stretch from base 1081 to 1238 matches the Rfam family "Archaeal large subunit ribosomal RNA", at positions 2544 to 2703 of the family's 2987-position model. Lineage: Eukaryota; Metazoa; Arthropoda; Insecta; Hymenoptera; Tenthredinidae. The record is from RNAcentral.